RNAcentral lists this long non-coding RNA (2339 nucleotides) under Sorghum bicolor (sorghum). RNAcentral describes it as "long non-coding RNA (SBIC_LNC003954)". Lineage: Eukaryota; Viridiplantae; Streptophyta; Magnoliopsida; Poales; Poaceae. The record is from RNAcentral.
UCCCACCUAUCCAGCCACCCUAUCCGCCGCCACCCCCAACCACCCCGUCGCAACCCACCCUGGAGCCCGGCCGUCGCGUCACCCCCUUGGGAGUGCAGCUCGCCACCCCUGGAUGAGCACCGUGCUCGCCUCCUGGAGCAUCGAUGGUGACGGUCUACCAGCCACUCCAUCCCUCCUCUUAUCUCCUCCUCGCCACUAGGCCCACCACGGGACUCGGCCGUCGUCUUCCCUCCCAACAACGCAUCCGGAGCGCUGCCGACGUUGGUAGAUGCUUCGGCGUCUGAGCUCCUGGCCGCUCGUGCGGCUUGGCGAGCUUCGGAAGUGAUGGCUGUCCUCGAGACCUUGAAGCUGGGUGCCAACAUCCCUCGGGAGGCUAAGUCCUGCAUCUGCGUCAUGCAUGGCGGCAGCAGCAGGCGUUUGUCUCGACGUUUUCAAGUCUGCAUCUGCGUUAGCAGGCGAGUAGAUUGAGGCCUUGUUUAGUUCCCAAAUUUUUUUUGGUCGGGAUACUGUAGCAGUUUCGUUUAUGUGCUUACAUAUACGAGUUUCUAUGGAUAGCAAUUAUGAUUUGGACUAAAUAAAUAAUAGAUUUCGUAAAUUGUUAUCAUGUGUUUUGAUUUUCUAUGCUUCUUGAGCCAACCGUGUAAUUAAGAAAUCAUCUGGAAUUCUAUACAUUGUUAGAGCACAUUUUAUACAUUGUUGAAACAUAAUUUUAUACAUUUAUAUAUUGUUGGAACUCAAUUUUAUAUGUCUUAUGCUUUUCAAUUUUCUAGUAUUUGCAUCAAUGCGAGUUUUUAUUCUAGCAUUAGUGAGUUUCUAUACAUACAUUCAAUUUUAUUUGACAAGAGGCUAAAAUUGCCUUUUUUUUUGUGAAACUACAUAUAUGAGCGUGGUGCCAAUUGGCGGUGGCGGAUUGGGGCGUGGACAACGUAAUGGCAUGGCACAGUCAAGGAUAUCUUCCACAUGUCCAUUUUUGAUUUUUAUACUUCUUGAGUCACAGUUUCUAUGUCAUGGAUUUUUAUGUUUUGAUUCAAUUUAGUGUCUAUGCAUUAUUCCUCUAUUAAUUGUAUGUCCCCAAAGUGACAAAAUGGUUUGAGUUGUGUUCGUCACGGUUUUUGGAUAAAUAAAUCUCCUAUAUGGGAGGGUUUUAUUAGGUUCUAUACAUUGUUUCUCUAUUAAUUAUACAUCCACACAAGUAGGAGGAAAAGUAAAAGUUUAUGUUGGGACCAUAAUACAUUUUUGUGCAUAUUUUAUACGUUGUUGGGUGGGUGCAGCCAGCUAGUCGAAGGAAUAAGUGAAUUUUUUAUGAACGUGAAUUAUGUUUUUUUGCUGUAUAAAAAUAUUUGUCACUGUAACUUGGUAUAUAUUGUUGGUAUACGAUUCUACGCAUUAUUGAUUUAUAAUUCUAUACAUUGUAAGAGCAAUUUUUAUGUGGUAAAAAAAAUAACUUUUAUUCACCGAAAUACUAAUUUCUAUGCAAUGCGAUAAAAACAUUUAUGCGCAUAUUGACUACUAAUUCUAUGGUGUGCGUAUGGGUAGUAAUGAUGGUGUUGUAAUCGGCCCCCAUACUAUGAAGCAUGAUGUUACAGAGAAUAAUGAUUGUGUCAGGUGAAAUAUCCCAUCUUGUGGAGAGGUUUUUACGCAUCAAUAAAAAUUAUUGUUAUUUAUUCAACUACUAAUUUAUAUGCAAUGUAGCACUAAAAAUCUUUAUGCGCAUCUUGACUAUUGAUUCUAUGUACCUAAUCGGUAAGAGUUUUUGUGCGCCAUUGUAAGGGUUUUUGCGCCUGCUCAAAACAUGUUUCUAUGCCUUUGUUGUGGUGUAGGAUGGUCGAAAGGAUUCCACUAUUUGGCGUGAGGCCAAUGGUGGCUCGUCAUAGGACAUGGCUUGCGACGUCCGCAACUUCCUUGGCUUGUGACAAUGGCGUAGUUUGAUAUUUGAUAUAGUUGAUAGGUUAAUGUAAAAAGUUAGUUUUUCAUAUGUUGUGGUUAUAUGCUUGGAUGAUACGAGUGAAACUAUUGGUUUCUAUGUAACCUCUGUUGGGUUUCAAUAUUUGGUUGACUUAGUGUCUAUGCAUAUUAUGAGUUGAGAACAUUAUGGAUAGUCCACAUCUAGUGUGUAGUGUUUUGUAUGUUUCAUUCCCCUAGAGGGAAUUAUGGUGUAAGGUUUCUAUACAUUGUUUCUCUAUUAAAUAAACAUAUCUUGGUGCAAAGAAUGGUGUGAGUAUGGGUAGUGACGGUGUUGGUUGUAAUAGGCCCCUGUAGCAGGAAGCAUGAUGUUGUUACAGACAAUCAUGAUUGUGUUGUGGAAUGUCCAUCUUGUGGAGAGGUUUUUACGCAGCAAC